This 66-nucleotide transfer RNA is filed under the name Kinyongia fischeri (Fischer's chameleon). Its description in RNAcentral is "tRNA-Lys". Lineage: Eukaryota; Metazoa; Chordata; Lepidosauria; Squamata; Chamaeleonidae. The record is from RNAcentral.
CAUUAAGAAGCUUGCACGAAGCAACAGCCCUUUAAUCUGCAGAAGGGGCCCUUCCCCCCUUAAUGA